This 460-nucleotide ribosomal RNA is filed under the name uncultured bacterium. RNAcentral's name for it is "partial 16S ribosomal RNA". It matches the Rfam family "Bacterial small subunit ribosomal RNA", at positions 338 to 795 of the family's 1533-position model. The record is from RNAcentral.
CCUAGGGGUGGCAGCAGUGAGGAAUAUUGGUCAAUGGGCGCGAGCCUGAACCAGCCAAGUAGCGUGAAGGAUGACUGCCCUACGGGUUGUAAACUCCUUUUAUAGAGGAAUAAAGUGCGGCACGUGUGCCUUUUUGUAUGUACUUUACCAAUAAGGAUCGGCUAAUUCCAUGCCAGCAGCCGCGGUAAUACGGAGGAUACGAGCGUUAUCCGGAUUUAUGGGGUUUAAAGGGAGCGUAGAUGGGUUGUUAAGUCAGUUGUGAAAGUUUGCGGCUCAACCGUAAAAGUGCAAUUGAUACUGGAAGUCUUGAGUACAGUUGAGGUAGGUGGAAGUCGUGGUGUAGCGGUGAAAUGCGUAGAGAUCACGAAGAACUUCGAUUGCGAAGGCAGCUUACUAAACUGCCACUGACAUUGAUGCUCGAAAGUGUGGGUAUCAAACAGGAUUAGAUACCCUAGUAGUC